CUUUUACCUUAUAUGUUUUAUAUUAAUGUUUAAUGUUUAUUCCAUUCAAAAUGCUUUCUAAUUUCUUUUAUAAUUUUUUGACCUUUGUGUUAAUUAGAAGUGUGAGAAUUUCCAAAUAUUUGAAGAUUUUUCAGAUAUCUUUUUGUCAUUAAUUGUGUUGUGAUCAGAGAAUAUGCUGUUUCAUUUUAGCUAUUUUAUAUGUAGUUAGACUUCUUCAAUGACCCAAUUUAUCUUAGUUGACAUACCUUUAAAAUAGUUAGCUUUCUUCAGUGAUUGGCUGUGGAGUUUUACAAAUAUAAAUUAGGUCACAUUGUUUGACAGAGUUGUAAAGACUUCUCUGUACUUACUGGUUUACUGUCUACUUGUUCUAUCAAUUACUGAUAAAAAUCUAUUAGAAUUGCAAGGCACUGUGGUACACACCUGUAAUCCAAGCUAUUCGGGAGGCCAAAACAGGAGGCUUUCAAGAUCAAGGCUUGCCUGGGCAGUUUAUAAACAGAAACAAAGCCAAACAAAUAAAAAUCUACAAAAACUAUUGUGUGUUCUGUUUUCCUUUUUAAUCUGAUGGAUUAAUUCUUUGGGGGCUGUCUAGCUCUAUAGCUUGUUCUUAAGGCAUGGGAUUCCCUGGGAGUCAAUGAGUCUUCUCUGCUCCACUUGUUUAGACUUUGAACAUCUUCCAGCCCUGUGAGAAUUAUGGUAGUAAUUCAGCUAUUAGGUCCCCAUUACCUGUUCUUCUCCUGGUCAUUCUUUGGUUGGUUCACAGGGUUUCACAAUAUGAAUAAGUAGCUUACUCUAGAACCCAAAAGGCAAAUAGCAUCCCUUGGAGAUUUCUGGAUCUUUUUCUGCAUAGCUUCCUCUCUCAGGUGCUUUGCACGGCAAGUUUCAAGCUCCUUAAAUCUUCUUGAAUGCUGAUUUUUAUCUGCACAGUGUUAUAAUAUCCUUAAGCUCUGAAUUUUACCUUCCUGUGUUGGGAUCUAAUAAAUUCCCCCAGACAGAAACUGAGGAUGAAAGGAAUCACCUCCUCUCUCUCUCUCCUUUUGGAGAUCAUCUAAUAAUAAAUAACACCUGCACAAGCACCGUGAUGAGAGUUUUGAACUUGGGUCCUAAGAUAUGGAUUGAAUGCUGGCUUCACUACUUAUUUAUCUGACUUUAGUUGAAUCACUAAAGCUCCAGAUUGAAGCUGCUACUUCUAGAAAAAGAAGAAAUUAUGCUAGAUGAUCACUGAGACACCUUCCACCUCUAACUCUGUAAGGCUAAUAUGCAAAUACAGUGACUUUUAUAUUUGCAUUUCAUCCAAAUCUUUAGGUCAGUGUUGCUUGCCUGAAGAGGUAUUUUUUUAAAUUUUAGUUUAAUUAAUUAAUUAAUUAAUUGAUUGAUUGAUUAAUUAAUUUUUUUGUGCUGAAUGAACCCAGGGCCUUGCACAUGCUAGGCAAGUGCCCUACCACUGAGCUAUACCUCCAGCUUUGCCCCUCACCUUUUUAAAUCAAUGAGGUCUGUCACUUAUUGUUUCUUCUUCCCACAGAUGAUUGUAAAUUGCCUUAUAGCAUUUCAUCCUAGCACAAUGGCUUCAUCACAUAAAAUCAUUUUGCAAAUGGAUUUUAUUUUAUGGUAAUAUUGUUAUGCCUUAUGGAAGAUUCCAUUUUUUCUAGAUAUGUGACCUGCUUAAAAAGAACUCUCUUUUAUCACUCUCACGGAUCUACUGGUGAUAUUUUAAAGUAUUAUGGGGUUCAACCAUUGUGAUAUGGUAGACUGGAAUUUUCAAGAGGUAGAAGGUUUCAUUCAUACAGUAACAUGUUGGGAUUUCCUUCUAGACCUAUUAUCCUGAUAAACAUUUGUUUAUUUGUCCAUGGACACUUGGUAUAUUUCUAGGUUAUUAGGGAUGGGGUUCAAAUGGAGUUGGACAAUUAGUGUUUAAUGAAUUUAGAGUUUCAGUUUUCCAAGACCAAAGUGUUCUAGAGUUGAUAGUGCAUACUUAACACUACUGAACCUGUAUACUUAAGAAUGGGUAAAAUGGAAGAUUUUAUGUGAAGUGUAUUUACUAAAACUUAGGAAAAAAAAGAGGAAGAAGACAUUACAGUUUAUUUAUGUAUGUAUUUAUUUAUUUUUCGUAGGUGGGUUCUUCUAACCCUUUAGUUUUCUUUUAUCUUGUGUUAAUAUUUUUCACUCACUUGAAAUACAGCCGGUUUUCUUUGUGUGAUAGAAGUAUUCUAAUUUGAUCAUAUUAUUCUGAAAACAGCUUCCCUGCCUAUUUUAAGUCCAUGGGUAAUUUGAAAUUGUUCUAAAAUGCUUCCUUCUCCUCCAUCUUUUCCUAUUCCUUCUUUUCCUCCUCCUCUGUCCUCUCCUUCCUUCUUCAAUAAAAUCAAACUUGAUGGUCCUUGGAAUUGAUAAUUGCUAUUCAUCUAGGAAAAUGCAAAUAAUUUGACAGAUUGUGGAGGAUUGUUGAACAAGAAAUUUAAAGUGACCUUUUUGUUUUUCAACAGGAUAUUUAUAGUUUUCACAUUUGCUGUUGGGUGGGCAUUGUAGAAUUAAGUGAUUUGGAAAUUUAUACUGAAGAGUUUAUUCCUUUUUGCAUCUGCUUAACAGUUUGUACUAAUUAAUGCUUUUGAAUUGUGUGAUAUAUAUUUAACACAAUGUGGAUAGUGUUAACUUCAUGCUGAAGAUUUUAUAUGUGGUCCCAUGGGCUUUGGGCAUUAGCAUAGACUUUGGCAUCAAUUACUUUGCUGCAGGGAAUUUACUACUCUGGUAAACAGGCUUUCAGCCAUUCAACUGGAGACCCUCUUAGACACAAGCAGACAGUGAAGCCCUUUUAUGUAUAUAAAUGAUGCCAUAAUUCACCUCUCAAUUGUUAGCUCCUCAAUGAGGGGCACUCAGAGCUCUAUUCCAGGUAGGGGUGCAUAGUUUCUGGAUCUGUAGACUCACAAGGGUUCUUUGCUGCUUGUGCUACAAUCUGAUGGGAUGGGAACAUGGUCAGAAGCUUUCAAAUGGGAAGCUUCGGGGUGUAUGUCCCAUCCUGCCUCCUUCCAAUUGCUCUGGAGACUCCAUCUACGUGCAGGCCUCUUCCCUAGGUGGAACUGCUAACAAUUCCAGAAUAAUUCAAGAAUUUGCUGUAAGACUGAGUGAGUUCAAGGUAGUUUCUCAGGGGUAGCCAUCCCCACAAACCCCUUAUAGGCCCAGGCUGCACACCUUCUAGAAAUCUUUUUAUAUUCACUCUGGCACAGAUUUAUAGAGAUGGUGAUUAUCUUUGCAAAUGAUUAAAAUUUUCAAAUAAAAGAGGCUGUGGUUACACAAAAUUACAUAUAAGAGUUUGUAAGGGGAAAGGGGAAAAAAAACAAGAGAGAGAAUUGAAUAACAGCAGAUGGGGUAGAGAGGGAAGAUGAGAGGGAAGGGGAGGGGGAUAGUAGGGGAUAGGAAACGUAGCAGAAUACUACAGUCACUAAUAUGGCAUUAUGUAAAAAUGUGGAUGUGUAACCGAUGUGAUUCUGCAACUUGUAUUUGGGGUAAAACUGGGAGUUCAUAACCCACUUGAAUCAAAUGCAUAAAAGAUGAUAUGUCAUGAGCUUUGUAAUGUUUUGAACA
This 3573-nucleotide long non-coding RNA is filed under the name Marmota monax (woodchuck). Lineage: Eukaryota; Metazoa; Chordata; Mammalia; Rodentia; Sciuridae. The record is from RNAcentral.